AGCUCAGUUGGUAGAGCGCACGACUUAAAGUACAAGUGGGAGGUCGUGGGUUCGACUCCCUUCGG
This 65-nucleotide transfer RNA is filed under the name Phaeocystis antarctica. Lineage: Eukaryota; Haptophyta; Phaeocystales; Phaeocystaceae. The record is from RNAcentral.